Molecule: ribosomal RNA, 497 nt
Filed under: uncultured bacterium
Lineage: Bacteria
Description: partial 16S ribosomal RNA
Rfam family: Bacterial small subunit ribosomal RNA
Source: RNAcentral
GAUGAACGCUGGCGGCGUGCCUAACACAUGCAAGUCGAGCGUGAUUUAUGAGGACGUAACUUCGGCCUAGGAAUCAUAAUGAAAGCGGCGGACGGGUGAGUAACGCGUAGGCAACCUGCCCUUGACACAGGGAUAGCCUCGGGAAACCGGGAUUAAAACCUGAUGACGCCAAACGGUCACAUGGCUGUUUGGCCAAAGAUUUAUCGGUCAAGGAUGGGCCCGCGUCUGAUUAGUUAGUUGGUGGGGUAACGGCCUACCAAGACGACGAGCAGUAGCCGACCUGAGAGGGGGAUCGGCAACAUUGGAACUGAGACUCGGUCCAAACUCCUACGGGAGGCAGCAGUGGGGAAUAUUGCACAAUGGGCGAAAGCCUGAUGCAGCAACGCCGCGUGAGCGAUGAAGGCCUUUGGGUCGUAAAGCUCUGUCCUUGGGGAAGAAACAAAUGACGGUACCCAAGGAGGAAGCCCCGGCUAACUACGUGCCAGCCGCCGCCGUAA